Long non-coding RNA from Polistes canadensis, 1216 nucleotides. RefSeq lists it as uncharacterized. Lineage: Eukaryota; Metazoa; Arthropoda; Insecta; Hymenoptera; Vespidae. The transcript is spliced from 3 exons. The record is from RefSeq and is a predicted model, not a curated record.
CAGCAAAUCGCUAGCAACCUCUUAGGGAAUUUAUUUAGGAAUUAUAGUAUCUUUAAGUUUCCAGUCUAUCCAAAGUUAACCUUUAAUCGAUGUAUAUACGUUUAACUUCUACUAACUCUUUUCUCGGAUAAAUUUUCCCAUUUGUUUUAUCGAGUUGUUUGUUAAACCGACAGUGACUUUAUUGUCCAGAGUGGGAACAAUAUUUUUCAUGAAUUAUGUGAUAUACAUUCUGUUGAAAGGUUAUCAUAGUAAUUACGUAACUUCUAAUAUUCAAUUAAGAUUACCAACAAAUGAAAGGGCAAGAAGAAUUGAUUCCAGACAGUAAGCUAAAAGAAUGAGUAAAAGAGAUGUCAUUCAUGAUCAAUAUUUGAUCGUACAAUUCGUAUACUAGAACAGUUAUACGAGUUAUAUAGAAGUGUAAUGAAUUAAUAAAGAAGAUUCAAGUAGUUUAUAUUUCUUUGAUCUUAUAUCGAGAAAUCUAAAGCUUUUCUUUAUUUCUAUCAUUCUUUCUUUCUUUCUUUCUUUUUUUCUUUUGUUACUUUCACUCUAACUGAUAAUCAAAAUCAUUUUCAUGGAAACAUAGACACGAUAUAUGUAGAUGCCAUUGUAAUCAUACAGAAUCUUUGGAUUACCUUCCUUCGAGGCAGCCCAUUUCCAAUAAGAAAACCAUUCUGUUUCUUUUCACCUUAUUAUUUAUCGCCUUAUGACGCAAAUCAUUUUUGUUCCGCUAUCCAUUUAAGAGCACCCUUUGGAUAUGGUACAUUUUACACAAAUGAGGAACGAGAAAACUGUGCGAACGGACAACAGGAGAAAAAUUCGAAAUGAAGUUCAUCAUGUGUGUGUAUAUAUAUAUAUAUAUAUCUUAUAUGUUCUUGUUUAAACGCAGGGUAUCCUGUAAUUGGUGGAGAGCAGGUGAUGAUUCUAUAUGAGAAACUAAAUAAAAUGUGUAGAAUAAAAUUUGUUCAUGUAAAAAUUUGUUUUGAAAUAAAAUAAGUUUGAAAAUUUGUCAAGUACUCGUGCACUUGAUUUAGUUUCAGUUCGAAGGAUUUUAUUAUCUUACUCUAAAAUAUUUUAGAGUGCUGACUUUGUGCUUCUAAACAUUAAUGCAAACAUUGUCAUUAUGAUGAUAUCUCUUGUAUCGGUUCUAUUCUUAUGCUUAUCGAACAAGGUUUUUAGUUUCUAGGUUUGCAAGCUCAGUCAUGUGUAUGCAUAUUCC